Molecule: long non-coding RNA, 221 nt
Filed under: Danio rerio (zebrafish)
Lineage: Eukaryota; Metazoa; Chordata; Actinopteri; Cypriniformes; Danionidae
Description: lncRNA si:dkey-257e4.6 (ENSDARG00000101483.2)
Source: RNAcentral
CUGGAGAUGACCACUUGCAGCCUUCCAGUUAUCUUUUCUCCAUUGCUAAACUAGGUUGGAGAAAACAUCAUUUGGUAUAUGGAGGAUGAUUUUCUUUGUCCAUCAAGUUAUCAUUUGUGGUGACCCGAAAUAAGAAAAUUAAUCAGCAACUUGAGGAUUGCUCAAGACAGGUAUUUUAUACCCACACACCAAAGAUAACCUUUUUGAGGUUUGAACAGAUG